GACGAACGCUGGCGGCGUGCCUAAUACAUGCAAGGAGAACGCACAGUUUAUACCGUAGCUUGCUACACCAUAGACUGUGAGUUGCGAACGGGUGAGUAACGCGUAGGUAACCUGCCUGGUAGCGGGGGAUAACUAUUGGAAACGAUAGCUAAUACCGCAUAAUAUUAAUUAUUGCAUGAUAAUUAAUUGAAAGGUGCAAUUGCACCACUACCAGAUGGACCUGCGUUGUAUUAGCUAGUAGGUGAGGUAACGGCUCACCUAGGCGACGAUACAUAGCCGACCUGAGAGGGUGAUCGGCCACACUGGGACUGAGACACGGCCCAGACUCCUACGGGAGGCAGCAGUAGGGAAUCUUCGGCAAUGGACGAAAGUCUGACCGAGCAACGCCGCGUGAGUGAAGAAGGUUUUCGGAUCGUAAAGCUCUGUUGUAAGGGAAGAACGGGUGUGAGAGUGGAAAGUUCACACUGUGACGGUAUCUUACCAGAAAGGGACGGCUAACUACGUG
RNAcentral lists this ribosomal RNA (505 nucleotides) under uncultured bacterium. RNAcentral describes it as "partial 16S ribosomal RNA". It matches the Rfam family "Bacterial small subunit ribosomal RNA", at positions 28 to 507 of the family's 1533-position model. The record is from RNAcentral.